GGCAACGCCCCGGGCGGGAAAAUGGCGCCGGGCCCCUGAGGGGAGGUCCCCGGGGGGAUCUGUCUGUGAGGAAACGAGGCGGGGACGGCGGCUGCCCCUCAGCUCCGGGCCUCUCUUCCGAGCUGGGCUUCCCCCUUGGUUCCGGGGGGGGGGGGGGGGGGUGUGGAUGGGAAAUACACACCUGUAGGUGGAUGUGGGUGUUCGUACCUGAAGCUGAGGUGGCUGGAGAUGCCAAGUGGGAAUGGGCUCUGAAGCCCUUCAGAGGGCUUGGACGGGCAGCCAAGAACCACAAAUGGGAGAAACGACAGAACCAGGCAGCUUGAAAGUGGGAAAAACCAAAGCAAAGUGCUGAAUGCACACUGAGGAAGGAGGGAGUCUAUAUAAAGUCUAAAAACAUGAAUAGGGCAAGAGUUGUGUGCAGGAGGAAAAUGGAUGUGAAAUGGCCAAAUAAAGGAAAUGAAAGAAAAAGUGAUGAAGAAACAAAUACAAAAUGAGGAGACAAACUGAUCUUACAAUACCAUGAAUCUAAAUAAUCUAUUACAAUUAAUCACUUAUAAUGAAUCGCUGCCUGACCAAAAGACCUUUAAAUUUGAAAAAUGUAAAAAUUAAAAUCAAGGAUGUGAGGUGCAUGUUUUAAUUCCUAGAAUCAUUAGCAAGCACUACUGAGACCAUUUGCAGUUGCUAGAAACAGUCCUGUGUUUAUUUUAUAGGACGGCAUUAAGACAGUUGCCAACACUCUUAGCAGAAAAUGGGAUUUGGGGACAUCCCAAAGUGCAUUUAUUCAGAUCUUUUCAUGAAAUUCUACAUUAAAAGUUUUAGGACCAAAAGAGUCCCAGCACUGCUGUUACUUAUCCUUGUUGAAAACAAGCAAUCUGUUUAAAAAGAGCAGAACUAUUUGUAUGAGAAAAUAUACUUUAAGUGGAAUGCUCUUUAUCAUCUUCUCCGAAAAAUGACAGAUCCUUUUUUUUUUUUUCUUUGCUUUUUCCAUUGCAGUCUUAAUUUGGGGCUUUUUAUAGCUUACACACUUUCCUGAAGUCUUAAGCCAAUCACUUAAGUCAACAGAGGUGGUUAAUGCUUAACUAAUAAAAUUGUGUGUGAGCUUCAAGACGUACAGAAGGCAGAUUCACAAGGUCGUGAACUGAGGUAAACUCCUAGUAUUCUAUGUUCUUGUUAUUACUAUAGGUUUCUUUGCAUCUUGAUAUUUAAAGUAAAAAGCAAAAAAAGCAACCCACAAACCAGCCACAAAGUUACCCUUCAAAGUGUCACAGCUCUGUUGGUCAGAACAUGCAGUCCUGUGGAAAACAUUCACUGAUCUCUGAGACCAAACAUCCUGGAUACAACUCCGUGAAUCACACAGCUCGCAUCCUCAUAGUUAAAGACUGCACAUCCUGGUUAGGAGAUGGUAAUAUUUGCUAUUAAAGAUCAAUAUAAUUCAAAUUGUUCUUUAACAGAAUACUUCAAUUUUUUAUGCCUCGCUCAGAUAUAUUACCCAGUUCUAAUCUGGCAUUUCUCUGAGAUUUGACUAAGAUAUUUUCUCAGGGAAAAUUAGAGGUCUGAGUUAUUCACUAACAUGAAAUGGUGUGGGGGGUGUCUUUUUUUUUAAAUAUACGCAUGCAGAACAAAUGGAUCAUUCAAGGCUUACAAACUGUGAAUGUAAAUAUCAGUGCCAGAUUCAUGUAGUCACAUAAAAUUAUUAAACUCUUCGGUGAUAUUUGAGUGUAACACCUACAUAGUUCAUCAGCAUCAGAAGAGCUGCACAGAUGUAAAUGAGAGUAGAAGCUGACCUUUUGAAUUCACAUACUGAGUCACAAUUUCAUCUCAAAAGCUGAUGUAAUCGUAAUGCACUUCGCCUUUACAUCCAUUUUAUCUCCCGACAAUUCUCAUUACUAAAAAUAAACUUGUUCUGGAAAGUUGGAGCAGACAUGUGACAGUGGCCACUUUGGAUAAGCCCCAGCACUCAGACACUCCUCCCCUAUUAAUGGUUCCAUCGUAGUUCUGCUUAAUGCUCCCCAGCACCAGCAUCUGCUUUCUCCUAGAUUACCUGGAGUCAAGACAAUAAAUAAAUGCAACAGAAGAAAGCUCCCAGUUCAUUGCCUUCAGUGAUUUGAAUCCGUUUUGCUCUCCACAUUGUUUAAAUUGUAUUAAAAGAGAGGACCAGGUUCCGUUUGGUUAGCUGGAAAUUCUCAGGCAUCAGACUGAUUUUAAAUGCAGUUUGGCACUGCGGAAAUGUCAGGGUCACUCAGUGCUACACAGGCAGAACAAGAGGCUGUCUUUAAAAUUUUUGGUGCCAGCUGGAAGAUGCAGUGAUUGGUCUACAAAAAGUUAGUAGGACAAUGUUAUUACGACAAAAUUUUAUUCUAUGGUUGUGCUAUUUAAAUCUGCCAAAGGAGAGGAAGCUGUAGGAAUAAAAACAAUGCCUGAUUGCCAUUUCCUCAGUCAAUGGAGACUAAUUUUAAUGUAACACCUUUUCUUUUCUUAUGCAACACUGCAGAGCUCAACGAUUUACAUGACGACUGAUCUAGUCCUGCGGGAACCUUCAAAAUUGUCUUGUCAUAAAAAUACUAUUUUCCAGUGAAAAGGUAGAGGGUAUUGCUUUCGAAGGGCUAGCUAUGUCAGAACUAAUUAUUUCAUUAUCAAAUUGCUGCUGACGUUAAUAUUUAGAAAAGAGCCUUGGAUAAUGUCCUUAAUGUAGCUAGCAAUGUAAAACAACAGACUUUUAAACUUACAUGUUCGUAAUUCUGUGAACUAAAUAGAGAUAGAGAGGAGGUGGUGUACGGGUGCCUACCACUGCAUAUAUUAAGCCAUAGUUUUUGCAUAUGUGGUAGUGCUUGCUCACUUCUAAGAAUGUUAGCAUUUGUUGUGUACAAUUAUUUACAGCAGGCAAAGCUGAAAGAAUUUCCUGUUAGAAGUGAAGGUGUCUGACGCUUCCCAUUACAAACUCUUGCCACACUUUCCACAUCACAGCACAAGGCUACGGGCUAUUUGAGGGAAUUUCUGUGUAUGUUUGUUAAAUUUCAGUGCCUCAAACUGUUUAAUUUACCACAUCUUUCUUAAAUUCAUAGGAAGAGCAAGGCCAGCCUAGUAAUAAAGACACCUUCAGAAGUGAAAGAUGUGGUACGUGUCCCCACAGCCUCACUGUUUGGAAAUGAGCAAAAGCGUAAAAAAAGCAGCAGCGCAACCCCUAUGGUACAUUCAGAACAACAUGAGCAGAAUGUUUAGAUCAAGAAAAUUACAGUGAGAAAUACUUCUUCUGUGGAUCCUGGUAUUCCUGGUGAGUUUACAUGGUGACAGUGCUCAAGAGAGACAGGGCUGAGGUGCCUCUGUGUGCCAGAGCUUGAGGUCACUGGGGGAAAUCACAGGUGAAAAUUUGAGCGCCUCCAGGAUUAACUGGUAAACUGAUGUUUUGAUGAUUUAGUUACCAUUUAAUUCCCAUUCCCUGUAAAAGGCUUUCUUUAACUCUACUCCACAAGGAUAUUCUGUGAUUUUUUUUACAGUGGGCAUUCAUUUAUAUGAAGUCUCCCUCUACUCCUUCUUUUGCAAAAAAAAAGAGAAAAAAAAAUGAUGAACUGAAAUUUCUGAAGUAUUCUCAUUACAUUAAUCAGUUUAUGUGGUUGUCCAUCUGCAUCUCGUGCUGCUUUGACCUCGCUAGUCCAAAGCUCACCAUGUUAUAUUUUUGCUUUCUUAUCACAGGAUUUUCUCACUUUUUAUGCCAGUCUUCGGUUUACUAACUUUGGGGAAUCUACAUUUUUAACUCACUCACAUGAGCUACACAGCUUACAAUCACCAGUGAAGAAAGGAGUUGGUUGUUGUGUUUUUGUUUUGUUUUGUUUUGUUUUUCCACGAAAUAUUACCAAGGUUGUGGGCUGCAACAAGAGGCUUGAAAAGGCCAAAAAACAGGAGUAUUACACAAGUUUAUGACAAGAAGAAGUUAGGCAACUAAAGUUACCAGAAGAGGGGAAGCUGAACACUGCUAAAUCAUCCCUAUUGUGUAAAAUACAGCAGAAACUAACUUACCCCAGUCUUGUUGCCAGUAUAUACCACAGACGUGUCCAAAACUGACUGAAAAGCCUUCCUAUACGAAAUCAGGUUUAAGCCACUUUAGCUUAUUAGUUCUGAUAGUUUCACAAUAGCUUAAAAACACAAAGACUUUACACAUUAAUGUAACAAAUUUCUCACUGUCCAGUGGUUUAAAAGUGAAGUUAACAUUAGCAAAAAAAAAAAAAAGAAUCAAGUGUUUUCAUUGUGACAGAUAAAUUACUAAAAGCAUUUUAAAGGAUGCAGCCUUAAAGCCUGUUUCAACAACUAUUUGGGUCAGUUCUUUUUCUCCCCUAAAUUAAUAUGAGCAGAUGAAAACCAAGCAUGAGUUCACGUUUUCUUGAAAUGCUCAUUUUUGUGAGGGAAGCAUGGAAAAGCGGCCUAAUGAAUCCUUCCUGUAGUAUGAGUUAAAGUACAUGUAAGACAGUUAUAAGAUCCUGUGCUAGUGAAUUCAGAUGUAAUUCUUUAUGUUACUACUAUUUGACUUUUCAAAAAUUGUGAUCAUCCUGUGAAUUUAAGAGAAUGCCACCACAAAUCAUUGGGAAGUAUAACAUUGUCAAAUUCAACACUGCUGGGCAUAUUUUUUUCAUUCCCUACUUAUGAACCAUGUGCCAUUAAAAAGAUUUGGGACUCAGUGGAAAUAACAUAGGAAUUAUUUUCUUACUUACUAAGAAAGGAAUUAAAGCCAAUAGCUUUAAUAUAAGACAACAGGAAGCUUUUCCCUGUGUCCUGGUGGCUUUUUUUAAACUCUUGGUCCUUACCGGGCUCACUUGUCCCGUUGGUAAUCCCAUCAGCCGUUAUUUCCACUGCCUAGACUUGCAAAGGAACACCGAGUGCUGCAAAUAAAAUGACGAAGGUGUAAAAGCUCCUGCUCAGAAGUUAAAUGAGAAUCAGAUGUCAACACAGUUCAGGCUCAGCCUUUGGCAGGAUCAUUGCUUUUAAUGCAAUUUACUAAUUAAAAAUGAGCACCAGAUUACGGAAAGACUGGAAUGAAGCGGCUUGCUAAACUAGUCUGUUAGCUCCUUGAACUGCCCGCACCAGGUCUGGUUUUCAUUACUUCUAAUUCAUUUGAAUAUUGCCUGGCAAUUAUUAAAUAACUUUCUGAAAAGAACAAACGCUGUUUGUGUUUUCUUCAUCAGCCCUCCGCGUCUAGACCGGAGCUGUUUUCCCUACAGAUGGCAAUCUGUAGCCGGGCUCUGGCAGGUGUAUUUUAUUCGGCAGAUGCACCCUAAUCGCAUUAUAGCGGAUUAGCUGGAUUUCUUCCUUUAAAUGUACACUGCGUGCUCCAGCUCGCGAGCCAGCCGUUCCUUAUCGCCCCCUUCUAAUCUGCCAGAGCCUUUUGCCUCUUCCUUUCAGCAGCUAUUUCUGUAACGGGUCGGACGGGGAAGAGCGCCGCAAUGAACCGUAAGCGGGGAAUCCUGCCCGCCUCCUCCUGCUGGGUGAGAUCCUCCGGGAAAGACCCAGAACGCAGCGCGGAGGCGGAGGAGGAGGAGGAGGAAGAAGAGGAGGAAGAAGAGGAGGAGGAGGAAGAAGAGGAGGAGGAGAGCGAGGGCAGCCGCAGAGCGGUGGCAGCAGCCGGGGCCGCGCUCCGAGGAGGCGAUGGGGGCAGGAGGAUGACGAGCGGGGGCGCAUCCCGCACCCACCGGCGGGCCCCGGGGCCGGCCGCAGCGGGGAGGCCGCCGGGCUGAGGCGGCGAGCAGGGCGCUAGCCCCCGUCGCCAUCCGCCCCGAUGGAUAAAGCCGGCUCCCUGCACAGCGCCGUGCCCGCCCCGCCGCCCCGGCUCUACCUGCCGCGCAACUUCAGCUGCAGCGCCUGCCUCUAUGGCAGCCUGGCCGAGCAGUGCAAGGGCGGCUGCAGCCCCGACGGCGAUCCUCCCCCUCCUCCACCGCCGCCGCCGCCGCCCGUGGUGCGGGAAGCGGCGGCCGAGAAGCCCCCGGCGGCGCCCCGGGGCCGGGAGCCGUCGGUGCCCGCCGUGCCGCCCAGCCCCACGCAGCGCCGCCGGGCCAAGUCGCUGCCCACGCCCGGCGACCGCAGCCUGCGGCCGGCGCUGCAGCAGAGCCCGGCGCGCCGCAAGACGGUUCGCUUCGCCGACUCGCUCGGCCUGGAGCUCACCUCCGUGCGCCACUUCUGCCAGGCCGACCUGCCGCGGGUACCGCCGCCUCCGCGCCCCGCCGACCUCCUCAAGACCAGGAAGCCUCCGGCGCUGGGCGAGCUGGAGCCGGUGCUCUUCGGGCCGCCGCCGCCGCUCCUGGAGCCGCUCUUCCCUCCGCAGCCCGGCGCCAGCCCCGGCUUCGCGGAGCGGGUUCGGCAGCACAAGGUGAGGCUGGAGUGGGUGCGGGCAGAGCCGGCGGGGCUGCGCGGCGCCGUGCGCGUCCUCAAUCUGGCCUACGAGAAGGCCGUGUCGGUGCGCUACACGCUCAACCGCUGGGCCAGCUGCGCCGAGGUGCCCGCCGCCUACCAGCCCUCCGGCCCCCCCGACGGCAGCACCGACCGCUUCGCCUUCCACCUGCCCCUCGGCGCCGCCGUCACCGCCGACGCCACGCUGGAGUUCGCCGUCCGCUACCGCGUGGCCGGCGCCGAGUACUGGGACAACAACGGCGGCGCCAACUACCGCCUGCGGGGCCGGCCGCUGUCCCCGGCCGCCGUCUGCCCGCCGCAGGACCCCGACAGCACCGCCUGGAUCCACUUCAUCUGAGGGGGACCCGGCACCCUCCGGGCUCGCCUCACAGGGCGGCCGCGGCACCCUGUUUCACCUCACAGGACGGCCCCAGCGCCCUCCGGCUGCAGCUCGCCUCACGGGACAGCCAUGGCACCCUCCGGCUUCGCCUCACCUCACCUCACCUCACCCUUCCCGCCGUCCCAACCGCAGCCCACCCAGCCCACCUUUCCAGAAGCUUCUUCGUAAGCAGCCAGAAGAUAUUUUUUUGAAUUCCGUUUACAGAUAAAUUAUUUAUCUUUUCUAUCUUAUUAACGCCGCGUAUGGAUAAGCGUUCAGGCUCCAGUCAGGACGAAGGCUGGGCGCGAGGUGUUAAGUCCCACGGCAGCAGUGUGCGCGGUGUUUUCCGCCUCGAGCUCGUGACCAAAGCUGCUGCACAGUGAGGGUCUGGAAUGAGGGGAGGGAGGCUGUCAAUAUUUGCAGGACUUAUCAGUGAAAAUCAGGAUCCACUGGUGCAAACAGAUCUUCCUGGGUGCUGUGCCCACAGCACUGGGUUCUGGAAACACAGGCAGCACUGCCCUGGGCACCCAUCCUCUUUCCUCAGCCCACCUCACCAAGCCUGGCUCCGUUGAGGUGCUGGGUCCCUUCCCAGAGCCCCACAGACCCCAACGUCCACGCGGACGCGGUCACUCGUGUUAAUUGCAGGGGACAGAUGGUGGUGUUGAACCCCAAAAGAGAUACCCCCAGGUAUGGCUGUAUUUCUCAUGCUGUAAAAAUGGCCGAUGGGUUUGUAGCAAAGAUUAAAUUUUAAAAUUUUGAAACCUGUUUCAUAUAUUCAAGCAUAUUUAGAAAAAUGCUAAGAAAAGUAGUGUCACGUAGUAAUGGAAAUACAGCCUACUAACAGGUUUUAUAAAGCAAGCACUUUGUUUUAAAAUCCAUGUGAUACAUUGUAAAGAUCUGUCAUGCUUGUUUCAGUAGGAUUGUUCCCAUAAAGCUGCUCAUGAUCAGGUUGGCAGGAUAGUCCUGAAGUUGCACCAAAGAAUUAGAGGUGGCAGGAAUUGAAUCCAUAAUUUUGGUUUGCAUCCCAAGCAACAUUUCCAGUUUUAUUUCUGUUAACAGUCUAAUUGAAGUUGUUAUGCUAAGGUAUAAGGGCAGGAGCUUGCCUUUUGCAAAACAAAACGUUCCAGAUUUUUAGGAUAAUUCCGGAAAGUGGCGGAUUUCACAAGGCUAGCUAUAUGUAGUCAGUCAGAUUGAGGAAAAGUAGUAUCUUUGCAUAGAAGUAGAGAUGUACCAAUAAAAAACAUUGAAAUUGCAGAGUACGUUGACUUCUGCCCUCAAGAGAGAGGUCCUCUAGCAGAGAACAGCAUUUUCCUUUUUAAACUUGCUUUUUCAGGAGUUUGGCUGAAUACAGGUUGUGCUGGUGAUAAAUCUGGGUGCUGGCUUUCCAGGAUUUAGGCACGUUUGCGUUUGCAGGUGAGGGACUUCUACAAAGAUGACUUCUGAGAGUGGCAGAACAAAUGCUGGUGUCAUCUUCCUAUUAUGAAGGGCUGUAGGAUCAGGCAUUCAACAUUUUGGACCUUUUGUAGAUUGUUUAGGAGUGAAGUGUAAUUCUAACUGUAUUCUUUGUGCUCCUUGUGAGGGUUAAGUAUCCCAAACAGCUUGAUUAAUGCCAGGUUCUCAUGGAACCUUUCAACUUCAGUGGGAAUUGAGGGCACUUUUGUCUCCUGAGGGUCUGGUUGAGUCAGAAUAAUUAAACCUGUGAAUUCUGGAAAAAAUGGUCUGGCAAGUUGAUGGGAAAAGAGCAUUUAAUUUAAUUUCUCUAUACUGCUUUUUCUGGUUUAAUAGAAAUCAUACCAACUGUAGCCUUCCUGUAGUAUUGGUAGCUUGGUUUUAGUUCCCCAACAAGUUUUCUGAUCAGUGUGAUCUUCACAGAAAUAGAAUAUAAAAGAAAUAUACUGUCAGCACCUACUGAGUAUUUCACAUUUUAGAAUAUUAAGGCCCUGAUCUUGUAUUGAAGUAACCCUAUGUAUCACUAGCACACAUCUAUAAAGAUAGAAUUGCAGAACUUGGGUCUUAAACUGUUCGUGAUUAAUGCAUAUUAAGUAGUAUGUUUGAUAAAGAAAGCCCAAGUGUCUUCUAGUUAAACCUAGUUUGUUAUGAGAGCCUUAAUACUGGAGAGAAGGAAGCGAAAUUGUCUCUAUUUGAAAGCACUUUGAAAUACGGUGGAAAUGCAGCCAAACACCUUAUUUAUGUGUUAGAGCUUUCCAAAACAUUUUUUUGCUUGGCCUUUCUCACCCAUAUACUAAAGCAGCAACAGUUUUUCUGAAGCAUCUUAAUGAUGUCAUAUGAGGGAAAAAAAGUAGUUUCUGUGCGCUUUAGGUUAACCAAUGCUAUAAUUUGUUUAUGAACGUUUAACCCCUUUGUCCAAUAUACAUCUGAAUAUUAAACCUUUUGAGGAUGUAAUACACCAGAAGAAUGUUUUGGAAAGCUGACUCCUGAGCUUUUAAGCAAUUAAGCUGAUGUUUAGUUCAACACUCAGUUUCGUGGGUAACUAUGGGCUUGAGCUUGAUCACAGAUUAUCAGUGAUACACGUUCAACUCCAGUAGAAGACCUGGUCUUCUGGAAGCCCUUAAAAACACCUCCAUUUAAAGCCUUGAAAGGUGAGGUUGGCCCAGCCAGCUUUGAGUGGAGGAUGCUACUGAUGACAUCUUUGGAAGAAGUGUGAGGUGUUCUAACAGAAACCUAUCAGUGAUAUAUGCUGAAGCUGCACUGCUUUGAUUACACAGUUUCACUUCUAUCACAUUAAUUUCUUCUCAAGAUUUCCAAAAACAUGUCUAGGUGCACUGACUGCGAGUACUUUUUCCACUGGCAGCAUCCAUGUAUGGUUUCCAGUCCUUUAGUUUUCAGCCUGACGCUAUUUAGGCGGGGUUUGCUAGAAGCAUUGUAUAAAUGGAAGUGAAAUAAAAUAAAAAUCCCAAAUAGAACUUACAAUCUACAUAAAUGAUAGCUUUGAGGAGAAAAGCCUGUGCUGAACAGGGUACUUCUCAAGUUGGCAGGGCAUCAGUAAUUUUAAUGGAAGAAGGAGCAAGACAACUUUUUUUUUUUAAAAACACAUUUCUAAAGAACAUAGUUCCACAAAGUUAACUUUAGAAGGCAAAGUAAAAUAUUUGAAUUAUGUUUCAGGAUACAAAUUCUUCAAGCCAAUCUUUUUUUCUGGAAAAAAUGACAGCUCAGUUGUUUUUAUUUGCAUGGAUAAAGCCCAUGCCACCUUCCUUUCCAAGUGAUGCUAGAAGGUAUAGGCAAGGCAAUAAUCCUUAGGUAGCGUACUUCACUUUUAAGUGAAUUAUUCAUAAUCACAUUCAUUAUGUCUUUGGAGGUGUAAAAACCUGUCUGUCAUUUAUUGUGCAAAGUUGUAGCUUUAUGAAACGUGCCAUCUUAUUUUAUGUGCAAUAGUGAUACUUCCUACAGUAAGUCAAAUCGUACUGUGUGUCUGAUGCACAUUCACGUUUGCUGGUGCACAUUUAAACUGAUAGAGUUUUUGCAUGUGGUUCCAUGCCUCUUAUGGCAAUAUUUGUGAAAUCUACCCUAAUCAAUAGAAGCCCUAGCAGGGAUCAAAACAAUUAAGUGACUGUAAACUGAAUUUCAGCUAGCUAACCACGUUACUAUUCAUUAGUGUAAAAAAUAAUUGAAAUGUUAUACUCAUUUUCAAUAAAUUUACAUUACUUCAGGCUAAUUAUUUUCUCCUUUUACCAUUUGCAAAUAACUUUUUGUUGUGAAUGUGUGUGCCUCAGUAUCGUAUUAAAUAGCAGAGCAAGUGCACACGUUUUGUUAUUGCAGGGUAUGUGAGGGGAAGAUGCAUCACUUGAACAAACAGCUGUCUGUUCAUGCAUAUGCGUGAUCUCUACAGAUACGUGAAAUGUUUUUCAGUAGCGCCAACAGGCAAACAUCUGCUAAUUCUGUAUUUUAAACAUAAAGUAACCGACAGAAAUACUCAGAAUCUGCUUUUUAACAUAUUAUUAACUAUACAUUGAAAUCUUUAUGUGCCUUUCAACAUUUCCUAGGAAGAAAUCUCAUUUGUUCCUUCACGCUCCCACCAAAAGUCCAGCUAUGGCGUUCUCAUUAAAAUGAAAUUUAUACUAAAAAUCUAAUAAUCAAUUCUAAUUCCUGACACUCUUUCAGCUGUGCCAGAAGUCCUGCACCUGUAACAGCCAGAAGUAUUUGAUCAUAUUUUCCCAUACUACAGUGAAAGAAGUUACUGUCAGAACCGCGUCUUCCUGGUACACCUCUGGAAUUAUUUAGCUAGACCCCUGCAAUGAAGAAGGGAGGGGGUAAUGGCUGAAGAACAGAAGUACUCAUGCAGACUCAUCCUCCUAUCUCGUGGAUUGACUUUCAUGGUUAGAGAAAGGUCAUGAUUCAUUGGGAAAGGCAGCAAUUUGCAGUUUCAAAAAGGCAAAAUUUUAGGUAAGCAAUCUUUUUAGGACUGCUUUUGAUAAAAAUCUUCAAAACUAAAUAUGGAUUGAAUAAAAGUUUUUAUUAUUCAGUUAGACAAUCUGAGAGAUAAAGGGGUUGGUGUCUGUGAAACAGAAAUGAAGCAUUGGUAAGGGAAAAGUUGUUAAUAUUAUUAACCUCUAUGUUACACAGAGACAAGAUUAUUGAUUGUGGGAGAAGUAUGGAAAUUAUGAUUUCCCCUAAAAGUAAUCUCUCUACUGAGUCUAUAAUGUUUAGUUUCCAGUAAUUAUUAGUGUUAAGUCCUCAAGCUCAGGAUCAAGAUUUAAGAGGCCACAGAUAAAGUGGUUAUUUUGUAAAAAAAAUCAUCUUCUUUAUUCAUUUUCUAUAGGAACGCACUGGUAAGCAUGUUUAUUUUUUCCCCAGUUUAUACAGCAUUUAGAAUUGUGUCAUAGUUCACAACUAAAACACAUUCACUCUUUCAUUUUAUUUUGAUGAAAGGCAUUCAUUACAGGUUGACGUUGGCAAACUUGCACUUAUGGCGUUGCAGUCUGGCUCCAACCCAGGCACGCUGGUCUGGCUGAAAGUUCCUCCUGAUGAUGAAUGUAGUGAGGUUGUAGGAUUAUUUGAAAACUGGGAGCACUGCUUGGGGAGUAUGCAUCAAACAAGAGACAACACAUCACUUUGGCACUAUAAUUCAGGUAGUUGAAUGGAUUAUAGAAAGAUACAAAAUUAUUUGCUUCAGUAGAUAUCCCUUAGCCUAAAUAGCUGCAGAAUACCUAAACACUGAGUAUUAAACCACACAGGAAAAGUGCCUAGGUAUCAUUGCUCAUCUUUUUAGAAGAGCUGGGAGAAGAAAUGUUACCAAAUUGGAAGUUCCAUGCAUUCGUACCUGUUUGCCUGUACUCCAAUUUGAAAUAAGCUUUCCCUCCAGAAACCAUACAGGGAGGUUGCAGCCCUAACCUGACAUCAGGGAGUCUAACACAGGCAAGGGUCAAGCUCUUAGCCCUAUGGCCCUGACUGUGCGACUGCCAUGAAUACUGCAUGAUACUGUGAAUAAUUGAUAAGUUUUUAAAUCUUUUUACAUCUUAAAAGAAAGCCCUACAACUUUAUGCACUAGGAAUUUUGACAAAGAGGUUUUUGUAUAACUUACUGUGUGUUUCAGUUGUUUAGAAGGGCCGUGCUUUUGAAAGUAACUUCCAAAGGAAUAGGAAUUCUACCUUUGUCACCUUAUAUGGAUUAAACAUCUACCUGCUUCCUGUUAGAUUGACUGAAAGGUACUUGGUUUUCUCUCCCAUUUUGUGCUUAGCUUCUAAUAACCAUUUUAAAAUUGUAGGAAAAAGUUAUAGUCCAAACCUCUGCUGUACUAUUUUCCUAAAAUACAGGUCCGUACAACUCAAACGUACCUUUAGAUGUCACAUCACUUUGAGUGCACAUUUGUGGAUUCAUUGAAUGAAUCAUUGAAUGAAAGUCUAAUGGAAUCAGCUGAUUUAAUUUACUGGUUUGCAAAAGGAAAGUUUGAGUCUCAUUCCUUUUAUGUCCUCAUUACAGCAGCAUGCCUACUUGAUCCCCACGACGCACAUUACUAUAGCGUAUGUCAAACUAUUACUAUCACACCAUUUUCAAAAAGUAUUUAUUCUUGUGAAAUCACCACAAUUGCUAGGCACAAGAUGUAGAACUCCUUAAUUGCUCGUGACAUAUGUAGUGCUUACUUAGUCCAGACAAAAAAAAAAGCUAAACAAUCCAGUCAAGAACCUUGAUAAAUGAUCAGUGCAUGAGUUCUGCAUUGUAAGAAAGCACAGUAAAACAGAAAACAAGGACUAUACCUUUGGAAAGGCAGAACUAGUUGAUUACAGAAUUUAUUAAUCCUUUAUGUUUUCCUUCUUUAUUUCACUACUCAAAGAAGUAAACAAAAAUCAUGCAAAGAGGUAGUUGAUAUAGCUUUUCUUUUGGUAUCAUCUCUGCAGCUAUAAUUAGUACAAAAUACUAGGAGGUUAGAGAGGCACUGUUGUUUUUUUUACAUCCUGAAGUUACAUAAAUCAGACAAUCUAGAAU
RNA transcript from Cygnus olor (mute swan), 13192 nucleotides. It is a transcript of the gene named protein phosphatase 1 regulatory subunit 3E-like, with no coding region annotated. The record is from RefSeq and is a predicted model, not a curated record. The transcript is spliced from 3 exons. NCBI's taxonomy places the organism in Eukaryota, Metazoa, Chordata, Aves, Anseriformes, Anatidae.